This 231-nucleotide ribosomal RNA is filed under the name Triticum aestivum (bread wheat). RNAcentral describes it as "partial small subunit ribosomal RNA". The record is from RNAcentral. Lineage: Eukaryota; Viridiplantae; Streptophyta; Magnoliopsida; Poales; Poaceae.
UGUAGUGUGAACGAUGAUGCAUACAUGUCAACUAUGGGUGUUGGCUCGGACAAUUCGCAUUGGUCUCAAACCAAUGACAUGCAUUUUGAAGACCAUGAGUUCGAGGUGGACGAGGAUGGUGAGGGCAUUGUCGACGCACCGAAAGGAAGAGGAGGCAACUACACCAACGACGAAGACGUUGUGCUAUGCAAAACUUGGUUGGGCGUGUUGGGAUGCAUCCGUUGGAGAUGA